CAAUAGCGUAUAUUUAAGUUGCUGCAGUUAAAAAGCUCGUAGUUGGAUUUCGGGUGGGAAUGGCCGGUCCGCCGUUUCGGUGUGCACUUGCUACGCCCACCUUGCUGCCGGGGACGUGCUCUUGAGUUCACGCUCGGGACACGGAGUCGGCGAGGUCACUUUGAGUAAAUUAGAGUGUUCAAAGCAGGCCUACGCUCUGAAUACAUUAGCAUGGAAUAACACGAUAGGACUCUGGCCUAUCUUGUUGGUCUGUAGGACCGGAGUAAUGAUUAAGAGGGACAGUCGGGGGCAUUCGUAUUUCAUUGUCAGAGGUGAAAUUCUUGGAUUUAUGAAAGACGAACUACUGCGAAAGCAUUUGCCAAAGAUGUUUUCAUUAA
Molecule: ribosomal RNA, 377 nt
Filed under: uncultured eukaryote
Lineage: Eukaryota
Description: partial 18S ribosomal RNA
Rfam family: Eukaryotic small subunit ribosomal RNA
Source: RNAcentral